Molecule: ribosomal RNA, 645 nt
Filed under: Lenzites betulinus
Lineage: Eukaryota; Fungi; Basidiomycota; Agaricomycetes; Polyporales; Polyporaceae
Description: eukaryotic LSU rRNA
Rfam family: Eukaryotic large subunit ribosomal RNA
Source: RNAcentral
GCAUAUCAAUAAGCGGAGGAAAAGAAACUAACAAGGAUUCCCCUAGUAACUGCGAGUGAAGCGGGAAAAGCUCAAAUUUAAAAUCUGGCGGUCUUUGGCCGUCCGAGUUGUAGUCUGGAGAAGUGCUUUCCGCGCUGGACCGUGUACAAGUCUCUUGGAACAGAGCGUCAUAGAGGGUGAGAAUCCCGUCUUUGACACGGACUACCAGUGCUUUGUGAUGCGCUCUCAAAGAGUCGAGUUGUUUGGGAAUGCAGCUCAAAAUGGGUGGUGAAUUCCAUCUAAAGCUAAAUAUUGGCGAGAGACCGAUAGCGAACAAGUACCGUGAGGGAAAGAUGAAAAGCACUUUGGAAAGAGAGUUAAACAGUACGUGAAAUUGCUGAAAGGGAAACGCUUGAAGUCAGUCGCGUUGUCCAGAACUCAGCCUUGCUUCGGCUUGGUGCAUUUUCUGGGCGACGGGCCAGCAUCGAUUUUGACCGUCGGAAAAGGGUUGAAGGAAUGUGGCACCUUCGGGUGUGUUAUAGCCUUCAGCCGCAUACGACGGUUGGGAUCGAGGAACGCAGCGCGCCUUAUGGCUGGGGUUCGCCCACAUUCGCGCUUAGGAUGCUGGCAUAAUGGCUUUAAACGACCCGUCUUGAAACACGGACC